Molecule: long non-coding RNA, 2079 nt
Filed under: Olea europaea (common olive)
Lineage: Eukaryota; Viridiplantae; Streptophyta; Magnoliopsida; Lamiales; Oleaceae
Description: long non-coding RNA (OEUR_LNC004179)
Source: RNAcentral
UGACUUCGAUAUAUCCCUGACCAACAGUCCGAGGCCCUCCAAUUACAAUAAGCCUAUCGCCACAUGCCCUAAACGCCAAACCCCAACCAUUCGUAGAAUCAGCUCGUUCUGGCAAUCUUCCUACGGUAAUCCACACUUUAUUAUUCUUGUCAUACUUUCUCAGUGCCAUGUCAGCAUAAUCAGCAGCAUAUAAUUCAUUAUUUACAACAGCAAUCAACGGAGGUGCUUCGGACGUAGCAGGUCGAUCGAAUUCCCUGGCCACAUCAGUCCGCACUGGGGACAUGUUAGGUAUUUCAGUCCAAGUCUCGGUUUCCAGAUUAUAUUCCUCUCCACAUGUGAGAAGCUUCGACUCUGUUCCUCCAAUUCCUCCAAUCACAUAAAACUUUCCAUCCAUGAACACCCCAGAACACAUCUUCCUCGGUUUCUUCAUGCUUGGAAGUGUCUUCCAAAUUCCCAAUUCAGAAUUAUAGAGCUCUGCGGAACCCUAAAGUUUACAGCGGUGUACUCACUUCAGUGGUCCUGAAAAGACUCGAAUUGAUGACCAUUGGGGAGUAAACCCAAUGUCUGAUCAUUGAGCUACUUCUCAGAGUUGAGACUUGAAUAUUUUACUACCACAUAAUUAUCAAAUAGCUAUCUUAAAAACACAAAGUUAUUAGAAAAUGUUCAACACAAGUAAAAUGAAGAUAACAUAGCAUUAUGGACACUGUCAAAAUCAACAGUAUACAGAUAAUUUGUAAUUCAAAACUAAAGAAAAUUUUCCUCACUUUUGAAACAAGUUAUUCUAUCAAUAAAACAGGUUCAGAUAUCAAAAUUAAGAGAAUUAGUUUGAACUUUCCAUUUUAUAUAUCGAAGAGAGAACUUCACCAAAAACAUGGUUUACAUCAUUCAAAGGGUCAAAUAAUAGCGAUUCAAUGACUGGAGUCACUUGACGUAUUUAAGAACCAGAAUAAAACGUUAUAGAAAUAUGCAAGAACAUCCAUUCAAACUAGCCAAAGAAAAGCAUAAACUUCGGGAUAAAAGAGAACAGGAAGCUGCUAUAAAGCUGCAAAGAGUAACCGAAGAAAAAAGAUCACUUUAUAGCCGAUGCUCCCAGUAAACAUGUUCAUGCCUUAUUGUUUUCCCCUUCAUACAAUUCCAAGAACUUGAAAAAUCGAAUCACUGAAUUCUAUGAGAUAACCUUCAUAAGACACCAACGAAAACCUAUAAAUGUAUUCCUCCUAGAAGUUAUUCGAACAUUUUUCUGCGCAAAGGUCAACUUUGAUAUUUUCUCAUGUUACUUCAAAGGGAGAAGGCAAUUUACAGGAAGAAAAUUUAGAUUUAGUUUUAAAAAGAUGUACCCAAGACUACCUCAAAGAGAACAAUCAAUCGAAUCUUGAGUAAAAUAUAAUCCUUCUGAUCCUCCUCCAAGUGAAAGGGAAAAAAGUUGAAAAUGCAAACUUGCAAGAAAUUACCCAUUAGUAGUAAUCAGGUGCAUCUGGGAUCCAAUCCAUCGGAGAGCGAGGCACUCAAUUUGAAUGGUACAGACUGCACCGAAACACAAAUGAUCAGCAUCCCAUCACAGCACAAUUGUAAACAAAACUGCCAGAUUGUUUUCGGCCGAGCAAGACCCAUUGCGGCGGACCUUCAAUUGGAACCCAUGCAUUGACUUCGAUAUAUCCCUGACCAACAGUCCGAGGCCCUCCAAUUACAAUAAGCCUAUCGCCACAUGCCCUAAACGCCAAACCCCAACCAUUCGUAGAAUCAGCUCGUUCUGGCAAUCUUCCUACGGUAAUCCACACUUUAUUAUUCUUGUCAUACUUUCUCAGUGCCAUGUCAGCAUAAUCAGCAGCAUAUAAUUCAUUAUUUACAACAGCAAUCAACGGAGGUGCUUCGGACGUAGCAGGUCGAUCGAAUUCCCUGGCCACAUCAGUCCGCACUGGGGACAUGUUAGGUAUUUCAGUCCAAGUCUCGGUUUCCAGAUUAUAUUCCUCUCCACAUGUGAGAAGCUUCGACUCUGUUCCUCCAAUUCCUCCAAUCACAUAAAACUUUCCAUCCAUGAACACCCCAGAACACAUCUUCCUCGGUUUCUUCAUGCUUGGA